RNAcentral lists this ribosomal RNA (253 nucleotides) under uncultured bacterium. Its description in RNAcentral is "partial 16S ribosomal RNA". It matches the Rfam family "Bacterial small subunit ribosomal RNA", at positions 524 to 776 of the family's 1533-position model. The record is from RNAcentral.
AACGUAGGAGGCGAGCGUUAUCCGGAUUUACUGGGCGUAAAGCGCGCGCAGGUGGCUUGACAAGUCGGACAUGAAAGCUCCUGGCUUAACUGGGAGAGGUUGUUCGAAACUGUCGGGCUUGAGGUUGGGAGAGGGACGUGGAAUUCCCGGUGUAGUGGUGGAAUGCGUAGAUAUCGGGAGGAACACCAGUGGCGCAAGCGGCGUCCUGGCCCACACCUGACGCUGAGGUGCGAAAGCGUGGGGAGCAAACAGG